This 523-nucleotide long non-coding RNA is filed under the name Triticum aestivum (bread wheat). RNAcentral describes it as "long non-coding RNA (TAES_LNC022191)". The record is from RNAcentral. Lineage: Eukaryota; Viridiplantae; Streptophyta; Magnoliopsida; Poales; Poaceae.
AUCAAUUUACUCAAUCCUCGUACGACUUGCAAAACACAUCUACUAGUAUUAGAAUUUGAAAUAUACAGAAUAUUAAGCAUGAAAAGUUGGAAAAAAUAAAUAAGUUAGCUUGUACCUUGCUAACCAAAUGAUAUAUGCUUGGUGCUUCCCAGCCUCACAACUGAAGAUUGACCCGCAGAUGCCAUAUCUAUUUCUCCCUGGCAGCAACAUCAACAGGUCAGCAGCAAGCAAGCUGCAUUCUUUAGCAAAUCAUAGUUGCGUACAGCAGAGGCCAUGGCCCGGUGCCCAACAGUAGCUAGCAAGCACGCACACGAGCACACAACAAGUAUGUACACACACACAAUAAACAGGCACGCACGCCGCACGCGACAGCAAGAGCACACCACAGCCAACACGCAAGCAAGCGCGGGAGGACCGGACAGGAGGAUAGCAGGGAAUGGGGAAGGUGGACGGGAUACCUUGCUGGCGGCGGCGGAGACUCCAAGCACCGGCGAAACAAAUCCAUGGGGCGGUUCCAAUGCUG